RNAcentral lists this non-coding RNA (102 nucleotides) under Elizabethkingia anophelis. RNAcentral's name for it is "SAM-I sequence". It matches the Rfam family "SAM riboswitch aptamer (S box leader)". Rfam says of the family: The SAM riboswitch is found upstream of a number of genes which code for proteins involved in methionine or cysteine biosynthesis in Gram-positive bacteria. The record is from RNAcentral. Lineage: Bacteria; Pseudomonadati; Bacteroidota; Flavobacteriia; Flavobacteriales; Weeksellaceae.
AUGUUAUCAGGAAAGGCCGAGGGAAUAGACCCUAUGACGCCUUAGCAACCCUUCGCUUGCCGAAGAAGGUGCUACAUUCUACCACUAUGGGAUAGAUAACGU